UAUCUUUUAAGGAAUUAAAAGGAAAAAGAAAAAUAAAGAACAGAAGUUGUCUUCAUUCUUCAUCUUGGCCGUAUGGGUUUUUGGAGAAAGAACACUCCCAUCUGUUUUGCUAUUUCUUUUUCUUCCAUUAUUCCACCAAAUUCUCACCUCUCUACACAAAUUCACCCACAAAAGCUUCUUUUACCAAGAUUGUUUACAUGAUUUGGUGGCUAUUUUGAAGAGAAAGAAGUUGAGAAAAGAAAAGAGAGCAAAGGAAAAGAGAAGUUGGAAGCUUAAAGAAAGAAGCGGAGAAAAGGAAUUGAAGCUAGUGUAGCUUAAUUUUGCUUAACGCCUUAGGAGCGGUGAAGAUAAUAUUACUGUAUUUGCGCAAGUCGGAGUCACAUACAUCGGCACAGGUGGAUAUUCAAGUCACUCUUAUUUUUAUCUUGUAUAUAUAUUUUGGGCGUUUUGGCAUGUAUACAAGUUUUAGUUAGUUAAAUGAAUGUAUCACGUUAUGAACUUAAUGUAUAAUAUUAGUUGAUAAAAUCAUGAGAAUAUCUUAGAAGCUUUAUAACUAAAAUUGGUAUUAUUAGACUUCGAUAUGAUAUGGAAUAUUUUGGUAUUUCAUAUGGUAAUUGAGUUGUGAAAUUGAGAUGCCAAGAACAUUGAGGAGUAUUUGUGUAUACGUGAUAAAUAUAAGGGUAUGUUUGGUUGGCCCUAAUAGAAUAGGGCUGUAAUGGAAUAGAGUUGUAAUCAGUAAUUCAAUUGUUUGGUUGAAUGGAAUGGAAUAGAGCUGUAAUAGAAUUCUUGUGUUUGGUUGAA
This is a long non-coding RNA of Gossypium raimondii (Peruvian cotton), 801 nucleotides long. RefSeq lists it as uncharacterized. The record is from RefSeq and is a predicted model, not a curated record. The transcript has 2 exons. NCBI's taxonomy places the organism in Eukaryota, Viridiplantae, Streptophyta, Magnoliopsida, Malvales, Malvaceae.